GUGCCUGUAGCUCAGCGGAUAGAGCAUCAGCUUCCGGAGCUGGGGGUCGCGGGUUCAAAUCCUGCCAGGCACG
This 73-nucleotide transfer RNA is filed under the name Candidatus Portnoybacteria bacterium CG03_land_8_20_14_0_80_41_10. Its description in RNAcentral is "tRNA-Arg". It matches the Rfam family "tRNA". Rfam says of the family: Transfer RNA (tRNA) molecules are approximately 80 nucleotides in length. Their secondary structure includes four short double-helical elements and three loops (D, anti-codon, and T loops). Further hydrogen bonds mediate the characteristic L-shaped molecular structure. tRNAs have two regions of fundamental functional importance: the anti-codon, which is responsible for specific mRNA codon recognition, and the 3' end, to which the tRNAs corresponding amino acid is attached (by aminoacyl-tRNA synthetases). tRNAs cope with the degeneracy of the genetic code in two manners: having more than one tRNA (with a specific anti-codon) for a particular amino acid; and 'wobble' base-pairing, i.e. permitting non-standard base-pairing at the 3rd anti-codon position. The record is from RNAcentral. Lineage: Bacteria; Candidatus Portnoyibacteriota.